Molecule: ribosomal RNA, 415 nt
Filed under: uncultured bacterium
Lineage: Bacteria
Description: bacterial SSU rRNA
Rfam family: Bacterial small subunit ribosomal RNA
Source: RNAcentral
UGAGGAAUAUUGGUCAAUGGGCGGAAGCCUGAACCAGCUAUGCCGCGUGCAGGAAGGAGGCCCUACGGGUUGUAAACUGCUUUUACCCGGGAAGAAACCGCCCCCUGUGGGGGGCGUUGCCGGUACCGGGGGAAAAAGGAUCGGCUAACUCCGUGCCAGCAGCCGCGGUAAUACGGAGGAUCCGGGCGUUAUCCGGAAUUACUGGGUUUAAAGGGUGCGUAGGCGGGGCUUUAAGCCGGCGGUGAAAUGCAGCGGCUCAACCGCUGGAAUGCCGUGGGGACUGGGGCUAUUGGAUACGGGCGGGGCGGGUGGAACUCGUGGUGUAGCGGUGAAAUGCAUAGAUAUCACGAGGAACGACGGUAGCGAAGGCAGCUCGCCGGGCCGGUAUUGACGCGGAGGCACGAAAGCGUGGGGA